This is a long non-coding RNA of Chiroxiphia lanceolata (lance-tailed manakin), 413 nucleotides long. RefSeq lists it as uncharacterized. The transcript is spliced from 2 exons. Lineage: Eukaryota; Metazoa; Chordata; Aves; Passeriformes; Pipridae. The record is from RefSeq and is a predicted model, not a curated record.
AGCUCUUCCUAUUCUUUUCCAGCUGAAGGGGCAGACCUUGUCCUUUCUAUGGUGGUAUCUUACAGUAAGAAAGGGCUUGUAUGGAAGGCCCAAUAAUGGGGGUACCUGCAUACUUUCCCAACUGAUCUUGGACUUAGGCGUGCGCUCUGGACAUACAUCACAGAAAUGUGAAGGAUUAUAAGGACAAGGGAAAGAUCGGAAAAGGAUAAUACAGCCUAGGAUGUGUUUCAUAAUGCCGUGACAUAUUACAAACCUCUACAAGGUUCAACCUUACUAUGUAACACCUGCAGGACUCUGUUGUACCAUGCCCUUCUUAGUAAUUUGCUGACAUUUGGCUACUGUAAACCAAGUGCACAUCUUUUUAUGCUUUUGUACAUCCGUAUUCUCUUAAAUAAAACCUAUUAACUUGAAAA